Molecule: non-coding RNA, 333 nt
Filed under: Canis lupus familiaris (dog)
Lineage: Eukaryota; Metazoa; Chordata; Mammalia; Carnivora; Canidae
Also listed under: 1 other name
Source: RNAcentral
AAUCCCUGCGAGAGACAGAGGGAGCGAGCGGGCGCGUCCGCCCGGGUGGAAGAGCAGAGCGAGCGGAGAGCGAGCCGAGGGGCGCUCCGGGCGCCCCGGGGAAGGGAGACCCGGAGUCACAGGGGGGCCUCUCCGCCGCCGAGCCCCCGCCCGCGGGGCGCGCGACCCCCCGCCGCUCCCACGGAACUUUGCCCGCCGCCGCGGGCGGACACUUGGCUCCCCCCCUCCUCCCCUUUUUGGAACUUACAACCACCCGAGAGCGAGGAGAACGCGACUCUCCGGACGCGCAGAGGCUCUACCCCUUCGCCUAUUUGGGAAGACACUUCUCCCCGC